RNAcentral lists this ribosomal RNA (498 nucleotides) under uncultured bacterium. RNAcentral's name for it is "partial 16S ribosomal RNA". It matches the Rfam family "Bacterial small subunit ribosomal RNA", at positions 28 to 507 of the family's 1533-position model. The record is from RNAcentral.
GACGAACGCUGGCGGCGUGCCUAAUACAUGCAAGUCGAGCGGACGAAUCGAAAGCUUGCUUUUGAUUCGUUAGCGGCGGACGGGUGAGUAACACGUGGGCAACCUGCCCUGUAGACGGGGAUAACACCGAGAAAUCGGUGCUAAUACCGGAUAACACGACAUGUCGCAUGACGUUUCGUUGAAAGACGGCGCAAGCUGCCGCUACAGGAUGGGCCCGCGGCGCAUUAGCUAGUUGGUGAGGUAACGGCUCACCAAGGCGACGAUACGUAGCCGACCUGAGAGGGUGAUCGGCCACACUGGGACUGAGACACGGCCCAGACUCCUACGGGAGGCAGCAGUAGGGAAUCUUCCGCAAUGGACGAAAGUCUGACGGAGCAACGCCGCGUGAGCGAAGAAGGCCUUCGGGUCGUAAAGCUCUGUUGUUAGGGAAGAACAAGUAACGCAGUAACUGGCGUUACCGUGACGGUACCCAACGAGAAAGCCACGGCUAACUACGUG